RNAcentral lists this small RNA (1598 nucleotides) under Theobroma cacao (cacao). RNAcentral describes it as "sRNA Tc08v2_g016420". The record is from RNAcentral. Lineage: Eukaryota; Viridiplantae; Streptophyta; Magnoliopsida; Malvales; Malvaceae.
UUUAGCAUUUUUGAGUUUGAAUCUCAUAUUAUUAACUUAACUCUUCAUUUCCAUAAAUUUUAACAAAUUAAUCCUUCAUUAUGUUAAGGAUUUUUGAGUUUUUGCUCUUCCAAAAAGGUUGUGGGGGUAAGGAUAUUCAAGGUUGAUUGAUAUAUGGCAUUGGUUUAAUGUUUAGAAACUUAUUUGAAUUUAAAUGAAGAAUAUUUGGUAACUCGACUAGUUUAAAAAAUGGGUUUGCCAGAAUAAUUAGGAAACUUAUGUUAGAAAUUAUUGUGAUAGGAGUUGUUGAGCCCGAGUACCGUAGAACGAACAAGAUCUGACGAAACAAGGCUUAGAAGCACACUUUUAUCAAGGUGUGAAAAUGAAAAGGGCUUAAAUUGUUAAAGAAGAGUGCAUAAAAGGCUUAUGUUUCUCCUACAUAUGUUUUAAUAUUUUGAGUAUUACUCUCAUUUUAGAAGUUCAAUUAACAUGAUUACUGAGCCAUUGGAACGCUAAGAGACAAGGCUAUAAUUUUCAUGCUUACUACUUUACCCAGUUCAACGUAAAUAAAGGCAAAAAUAGAGUCACAAUUUGAAGUAGUGAGAAAAGAAGACAAGACAGAACCUUGGGCACUUUGGCACCAUGAAGAUAAGGAGUGCACGAACACUAAAUAGAAAGCUCAGCACUGGGGAGUGGCGUCUACACGAUAUCUCAGAUAGAGAUAUAUAUGGACUUUUAUUUUGAGUAGGUUUUAGGGCCUAUUUAAGACCUCUUCAGAUCACUUAAAGGCAACAAUUAAGAUAGGUUUUCUCUUAAGAAAAAAAGCCAUCAAGCAAGCAAGAAAGUGAGGAAAAACUCUUGAAGAUUGAAGAUCAAAGACUCGACAAAAAUGAUAUGUGAUGGGCAAGGUGAAAUUGAGUUAUGAUAGCAUAAGUAUGAUGAUAGUGCCACUCGCACAUGCUGCAGAAAUUUAAAGACAACUUGAGCUGCAAAAGUCCAAUUGAUGUGAUUUUUUAUUCAUUGGAAAGCUAAGAGAAUAGAAUACAACUUUUGUAUUUACCACUUCACCUAGUUCAAAACAAAUUAAAGUGAAAAUCACAUCCGAUGAUGAUACAUAAGUGCAGACUGCAAACAAGGCAGCAUGGUGAUUAACGCUGCGGCGCUGAGACACUCAAGGCUAUGGUGCUGAUGGGACCACCAUCACAAUGCUAGAGAAUCAGGGUUGUGGUGUUGAGCAUGAUGAGUGCAUCGUACUAGAGGCCAAGAGCAUGGUGCCACGGCGCCAUAAAAAGAGCAUCGCGACGUUAUCAAAACUUGUCACGGAGCCGUGGCACCACCUCAGUUUCCAAAAUUAAAAUUUUGAUAGAAAAUUGGAAAGUAUGGCAUCUUGCACAUAUUCAUGAGUCUUUUUAAGAGCAUUCAGAAAGAGGAGACAGUAGUAGCUUUUUUGGGAAAUUGGAGCUACGAAUCAAUCAAGAAUUCAAGAGCAAUUGAGAGAGAUUAACAAUCAACCAAGCUUUGACAUUAGUUUAUUUCUCUCUUUUUGUGUUUUGAAUUCGUGACUAUAGUUCCUUGGAUAAUGUUUUAUUUAUAUAUUAUGAACUAAUUUGCUUAUUUAA